UGAGGCAAGUGAAAUAGAACCUGAAACCGUGUGCCUACAAUCAGUCAGAGGGCUAUGCAGUUCUUCGGAGCUGAAUGCCUGAUGGCGUGCCUAUAGAAGAAUGAUCCGACGAGUUACUGUAUGUAGCGAGGUUAAGCCGAUAAUGGCGGAGCCGCAGCGAAAGCGAGUCUUAAUAGGGCGAUAGUUGCAUAUAGUAGACCCGAAACCAGGUGAGCUACCCUUGGCCAGGAUGAAGCUUUGGUAACACAAAGUGGAGGUCCGAAUGCCUCAACGUUGAAAAGUUGAGUAAUGAGCUGUGGGUAGGGGUGAAAAGCCAAUCGAACCUGGAGAUAGCUGGUUCUCCCCGAAAUAGUUUUAGGACUAGCCUCGGAAAAGAAUCUGAUGGGGGUAAAGCACUGGAUGGGCUAGGGGGCACACCAGCUUACCAACCCCAACCAAACUCUGAAUACCAUCAGAUGUUCUCCGGGAGUCAGGCACAGUGAGAUAAGUUUCUGUGUCGCGAGGGAAACAGCCCAGACCGUCGGUUAAGGUCCCAAAGUAUAUGCUGAGUGGGAAAGGAUGUGGAGGUCCUCAGACAGCCAGGAGGUUGGCUUAGAAGCAGCCAUUCCUUUAAAGAGUGCGUAAUAGCUCACUGGUCGAGGGCUUCUGCGCCGAAAAUGUAACGGGGCUAAGCAUAUCACCGAAGCCACGGGUCUAGUAGUAUUUCGAUACUAUUGGGCGGUAGGGGAGCGUUCUGCCGUAGGAAGAAGGCAUACCGCGAGGAGUGCUGGACGAAGCAGAAGUGAGAAUGUCGGAACGAGUAGCGAUAAGACGGGUGAGAAACCCGUUCGCCGUAAACCUAAGGUUUCCUGGGGAAGGUUAAUCCUCCCAGGGUUAGUCGGUCCUAAGCUGAGGCCGAGAGGCGUAGGUGAAGGGAAACAGGUUAAUAUUCCGUACCAUGGUCAGUUGUUCUAUCGAUGGAGUGACGCAGGAGGUUAUACCCGCACGGAAAGAAAUUGCCGUGUCGAACGGUGUAGGCAGUGAUCGCAGGCAAAUCCGCGGUUGCUAUCAAGCUGAGGCCGGACAGGCCACCGAAUUAAGUAGGUGGAAGGAGUAGAUACCACGCUGCCGAGAAAAGCUUCUAAGAGAGACUGAUUGUGACCGUACCGUAAACCGACACAGGUGGGUGAGGAGAAUAUCCUAAGGCGCUCGAAAGAACCCACGUUAAGGAACUCGGCAAAUUAACUCCGUAACUUCGGGAGAAGGAGUGCUCCGGUAGGGUGACUGGAAUACAUAGGAAACUUUGUAUCGAAAGGUAGCCCGAUGGAGUCGCAGAGAAUAGGCUCAGGCGACUGUUUAUCAAAAACACAGGACUCUGCUAAAGCGAAUAGCCGACGUAUAGGGUCUGAUGCCUGCCCAAUGCUGGAAGGUUACGGGGAGGAGUCAGGAGUGGUAACAUUCCGAAGCUCUGAACUUAAGCCCCAGUGAAUGGCGGCCGUAACUAUAACGGUCCUAAGGUAGCGAAAUCCCUUGUCAGGUAAGUUCUGACCCGCAUGAAUGGCUUAACGGUCUGAUUACUGUCUCAACGUGGGGUUCGGCGAAACUGUGCACCGGGUGAAGACGCCCGGUAUCCGCAUCAGGACAAAAAGACCCCGUGGAGCUUUACUGUAUCUUGAUAUUGGAUUUUGGCCUGUUAUGUAGAGCAUAGGUGGGAGACUAUGAAGUUAGGGCGCCAGCCUUGGCGGAGUCGACAAUGGAAUACCACCCUUAUCAGUCUGGAAUUCUAACCUUGGCCCGUUGAUCCGGGUCGGGGACAGUGUCAGGUGGGCAGUUUGACUGGGGCGGUCGCCUCCUAAAGAGUAACG
This 1844-nucleotide ribosomal RNA is filed under the name activated sludge metagenome. RNAcentral describes it as "bacterial LSU rRNA". It matches the Rfam family "Bacterial large subunit ribosomal RNA", at positions 530 to 2302 of the family's 2925-position model. The record is from RNAcentral.